GACGAACGCUGGCGGCGUGCUUAACACAUGCAAGUCGAACGGACAGGCCAUGCUUUUGUGGGGUGCUCGAGUGGCGAACGGGUGAGUAAAACGUGAGUAACCUGCCCUUGUCUUUGGGAUAACUUCAGGAAACUGGGGCUAAUACCCGAUAGGAGCUCCUGCUGCAUGGUGGGGGUUGGAAAGUUUCGGCGGUUGGGGAUGGACUCGCGGCUUAUCAGCUUGUUGGGGAGGUAGUGGUUUACCACGGCUUUGACGGGUAGCCGGCCUGAGAGGUGGACCGGCCACAUUGGUACUGCGAGACGGCCCAGACUCCUACGGGAGGCAGCAGUGGGGAGUAUUGCACAAUGGGCGGAAGCCUGAUGCAGCAACGCCGCGUGCGGGAUGACGUGUUUCGGGUUGUAAACCGCUGUCGCCUGUGACGAAGAGGGAGUGACGGUAAUGGGUAAAGAAGCACCGGCUAACUACGUG
This 468-nucleotide ribosomal RNA is filed under the name uncultured bacterium. Its description in RNAcentral is "partial 16S ribosomal RNA". It matches the Rfam family "Bacterial small subunit ribosomal RNA", at positions 28 to 507 of the family's 1533-position model. The record is from RNAcentral.